Molecule: ribosomal RNA, 449 nt
Filed under: uncultured organism
Description: partial 16S ribosomal RNA
Rfam family: Bacterial small subunit ribosomal RNA
Source: RNAcentral
UACACUCCUGCGGGAGGCAGCAGUGGGGAAUAUUGGACAAUGGGCGCAAGCCUGAUCCAGCCAUGCCGCGUGAGUGAUGAAGGCCCUAGGGUUGUAAAGCUCUUUCACCGGUGAAGAUAAUGACGGUAACCGGAGAAGAAGCCCCGGCUAACUUCGUGCCAGCAGCCGCGGUAAUACGAAGGGGGCUAGCGUUGUUCGGAUUUACUGGGCGUAAAGCGCACGUAGGCGGACUAUUAAGUCAGGGGUGAAAUCCCGGGGCUCAACCCCGGAACUGCCUUUGAUACUGGUAGUCUUGAGUUCGAGAGAGGUGAGUGGAAUUCCGAGUGUAGAGGUGAAAUUCGUAGAUAUUCGGAGGAACACCAGUGGCGAAGGCGGCUCACUGGCUCGAUACUGACGCUGAGGUGCGAAAGCGUGGGGAGCAAACAGGAUUAGAUACCCCAGUAGUCCCA